This 315-nucleotide ribosomal RNA is filed under the name uncultured eukaryote. RNAcentral describes it as "partial 18S ribosomal RNA". It matches the Rfam family "Eukaryotic small subunit ribosomal RNA", at positions 1470 to 1796 of the family's 1831-position model. The record is from RNAcentral.
CCCUUAGAUGUUCUGGGCUGCACGCGCGCUACACUGAAGCGUUCAACGAGUAUUCACCUUGCCCGGGAGGGUUGGGUAAUCUUUUGAAAACGCUUCGUGAUGGGGAUAGAUUAUUGCAAUUAUUAAUCUUCAACGAGGAAUUCCUAGUAAACGCAAGUCAUCAACUUGCAUUGAUUACGUCCCUGCCCUUUGUACACACCGCCCGUCGCACCUACCGAUUGAAUGGUCCGGUGAAGCCUCCGGAUUGGCGCGCACCUCGGUGCCGCCGAGAAGUUGGCUAAACCUUACCAUUUAGAGGAAGGUGAAGUCGUANCA